RNAcentral lists this ribosomal RNA (136 nucleotides) under uncultured eukaryote. Its description in RNAcentral is "partial 18S ribosomal RNA". It matches the Rfam family "Eukaryotic small subunit ribosomal RNA", at positions 1299 to 1458 of the family's 1831-position model. The record is from RNAcentral.
UGGUGGAGUGAUUUGUCUGGUUUAUUCCGUUAACGAACGAGACCUCAGCCUGCUAAAUAGCCCAGCAAAUUCCGAUUUGUUGUGACUUCUUAGAGGGACUUUGUGUGCAAGCACAAGGAAGUUUGAGGCAAUAACA